UAGCGUAGGGGGCAAGCGUUGUCCGGAUUUAUUGGGCGUAAAGAGCUCGUAGGCGGUUCCGUAAGUCGAGUGUGAAAAAUCUGGGCUCAACCCAGUGGAGCACUCGAUACUGCGGUGACUAGAGUACGGUAGAGGAGUGUGGAAUUCCUGGUGUAGCGGUGAAAUGCGCAGAUAUCAGGAGGAACACCGGUGGCGAAGGCGGGUCUCUGGGCAACAACUGACGCUGAGGAGCGAAAGCGUGGGGAGCGAACAGG
This 254-nucleotide ribosomal RNA is filed under the name uncultured bacterium. RNAcentral describes it as "partial 16S ribosomal RNA". It matches the Rfam family "Bacterial small subunit ribosomal RNA", at positions 523 to 776 of the family's 1533-position model. The record is from RNAcentral.